AGUGAACGCUGGCGGUAGGCCUAACACAUGCAAGUCGAACGGCAGCACAGUAAGAGCUUGCUCUUACGGGUGGCGAGUGGCGGACGGGUGAGGAAUACAUCGGAAUCUACUUUUUCGUGGGGGAUAACGUAGGGAAACUUACGCUAAUACCGCAUACGACCUACGGGUGAAAGCAGGGGAUCUUCGGACCUUGCGCGAUUGAAUUAGCCGAUGUCGGAUUAGCUAGUUGGCGGGGUAAAGGCCCACCAAGGCGACGAUCCGUAGCUGGUCUGAGAGGAUGAUCAGCCACACUGGAACUGAGACACGGUCCAGACUCCUACGGGAGGCAGCAGUGGGGAAUAUUGGACAAUGGGCGCAAGCCUGAUCCAGCCAUACCGCGUGGGUGAAGAAGGCCUUCGGGUUGUAAAGCCCUUUUGUUGGGAAAGAAAAGCGGCAGGUUAAUACCCCGCUGUUCUGACGGUACCCAAAGAAUAAGCACCGGCUAACUUCGUG
RNAcentral lists this ribosomal RNA (492 nucleotides) under uncultured bacterium. RNAcentral's name for it is "partial 16S ribosomal RNA". It matches the Rfam family "Bacterial small subunit ribosomal RNA", at positions 29 to 507 of the family's 1533-position model. The record is from RNAcentral.